RNAcentral lists this ribosomal RNA (243 nucleotides) under uncultured bacterium. Its description in RNAcentral is "partial 16S ribosomal RNA". It matches the Rfam family "Bacterial small subunit ribosomal RNA", at positions 91 to 334 of the family's 1533-position model. The record is from RNAcentral.
CUGAGCGGCGGACGGGUGAGUAACGCGUGGGUAACCUGCCUCAUACAGGGGGAUAACAGUUGGAAACGGCUGCUAAUACCGCAUAAGCGCACAGUACCGCAUGGUACCGUGUGAAAAACUCCGGUGGUAUGAGAUGGACCCGCGUCUGAUUAGGUAGUUGGUGGGGUAACGGCCUACCAAGCCGACGAUCAGUAGCCGACCUGAGAGGGUGACCGGCCACAUUGGGACUGAGACACGGCCCAA